GGCUGCGCUCUGCCGGGGGAGGAGGAGGAGGAGGAGGAGGAGGAGGCGGAGGCGGAGGCGGGGAGGGAGGCAGCGAGCGGGUUGUGCUGGCGCUGCCCCCGCUGCCUGCCGGGCGCCGCUGCCUUGCCCGUCGCUCCGGAGGGGAGAGGCCGAGCCUGCCGCUCUCGGCUGCUUUCCCUCCCCGGCCCCCGCGUGGGGCAGCUCCUGCCCCCCUCCCCCCGUGUCCCCGGUAGCCUCCCACCCCCUCGGCAGGGCUGAGGGAGGGACAGUCCCCGUCUGCGGGAACGGGGAGCCCCCGGCUCCCGAGUGCUGCCGGAGGGGACGGGCCCGGCAGCCCUGGGCCGCGUCCCCGCGUCCCUCCGGGGCAGCGCCCCGCCUGCGCUGGCCCCGCGGGUGCGGUGUGUCCGGGGACGGGCGCACGGCUGGAUUCGGAGGAGGCCUGGCCGGGAGUAAUCCCCCCGUCUCUGCCGUGUUGGCCAGCGUGUGCCCCUGCCUCUGCUCUCCUCCGGGGAUUGCAGUCCAGCACCGACAGCAAAGACGGCGCCGGUCAGCUGAGGGAAUAGGUACCAAACCUAUCAUAGGUGCCUUCUCAGCAUGGGAACAGGAGAAACCGGAACAGCUGGGAAUCCUGAGAGAUUGGUUAUCGACAUCUGACUGCAGCAGGUUGAGACUGCGUCAAUGGGAAUCAUUGAUUUUUCUGAAGAAAAAAAAAGAAAAGAAAAAUCGACCCCAAACAGACCUCCUCCUCCAGCUCUUGUGGCUCUGUCACCAGUGGCUCAUUUCCAGAUGUCUGUUGUUCUCGUCUAGAAACGAACCCGGAGCCCAGGCUGUGGCUACGCAGGAAUCUGCGUUUUGAAAUGUUACUCUCGGGCCCUGUAAACUUUUGUCAUCAGUCCGUGGGGGACGCAGCCUGGAUCUGCUCAGAGGUUCAGUUGUCCUGAAACUACAUUUUUACUUGAACAAGCUAUGCACGGGAAGGAUUUUGCCCCAGCCCAACUUCUGGUGAGGGAGGUGUGUAUCUUUCCCACCUUCUUCCUGGGAAGAGUCUAGCUCACGAAUCCUGGUCUGUAUCAAAUCGAAAGGCGAGGAUGCACCGAAACAGAGCUGGGACAGACAGAAGAAGUGAUGAACAGCUCUGGCUUGAGCCUGCGCCGUGAAGACACCCAAAUUUCACUGGCAAUCCUGGCUGAAGGAUUUUCCAUCUCUGCUGCAGCUCGCUUCCCCCUUGGGCCUGGGCCGCACAUUUGGUGGCAAGCAGUGGGGCAGGAGAUGGGAACGACCGGCUGGUGGGAGGGAGCUAUUCACCCCGGCGCUGCUGUCAAAACAGGAUCUGGGUAACCACAUCCUCAGCUCCGCCGCUGCGGCAGGUUGGGGAGGCCACGCUGCGCGCCGGCUGGCGGAGACGAUUCGCUCCGGAGCCGCGUUUCCGCGGCGUGGCUGUGUGACGCCUUGCGGCGGUGCGAGCCGGGGGACGUAGGGAAUGGGAGCGGGAUGCUCCGGCCAAGGGCCCCGAGGCUCUGUCGUAACGCAGACGUUGGCUCUCGUGUUUCUGCCGGCUCAGUCGCUGGGGAAGCAGGCGGAGAGGUAGCUUCUUAAAGUGCGGUAGCCGAAGCAGGCGGAGAGGUAACUUCUUAAAGUGCGGUAGCCAACGCAGGCGGAGCGGCCGUCGGGCAGCCUGCGUGCUGGCGCCCAGCGGCAGCAACCCGCGCCACGCUCGGCCCGUGCUUCCCGGGGCCUCCCCGCCGAGCUUCCCGGCUCCGGCCUCCUUCGCUGGGCGCCGGAGGCACGUUUCAAUGACUAUAAAAGAGCGGUGGUGUGCGCAGCCCUCUGCGAUCCUUAUUUGCGCGACGAGCUGU
This 1856-nucleotide long non-coding RNA is filed under the name Apteryx rowi (Okarito brown kiwi). Its description in RNAcentral is "lncRNA (ENSARWG00000004301.1)". Lineage: Eukaryota; Metazoa; Chordata; Aves; Apterygiformes; Apterygidae. The record is from RNAcentral.